ACUGACGCCGUUCACGGCAACUG
This 23-nucleotide small nuclear RNA is filed under the name Arabidopsis thaliana (thale cress). RNAcentral describes it as "snRNA_02747". Lineage: Eukaryota; Viridiplantae; Streptophyta; Magnoliopsida; Brassicales; Brassicaceae. The record is from RNAcentral.